RNAcentral lists this ribosomal RNA (392 nucleotides) under uncultured bacterium. Its description in RNAcentral is "partial 16S ribosomal RNA". It matches the Rfam family "Bacterial small subunit ribosomal RNA", at positions 523 to 918 of the family's 1533-position model. The record is from RNAcentral.
AUACGGAGGAUCCGAGCGUUAUCCGGAUUUAUUGGGUUUAAAGGGUGCGCAGGCAGCCAUUUAAGUCAGCGGUUAAAUCGUGGGGCUCAACCCCAUUCUGCCGUUGAUACUGGGUGGCUUGAUUGCGGUCGAGGUUGGCGGAAUUCGUUGUGUAGCGGUGAAAUGCAUAGAUAUGACGAAGAACACCGAUUGCGUAGGCAGCUGACCAGACCGCAAAUGACGCUCAUGCACGAAAGUGCGGGGAUCGAACAGGAUUAGAUACCCUGGUAGUCCGCACAGUAAACGAUGAAUACUUGUUUUCGGCGAUAUAAUGUCGGAGGCAAAGCGAAAGCGAUAAGUAUUCCACCUGGGGAGUACGCCGGCAACGGUGAAACUCAAAUGAAUUGACGGGG